GUUGUUAGAGUUCAAGCAGUUCAAGUAUUACUGUAGUUUCAAGUACUUUUUAAAAAUUAAGCUUGUGUUUUUUCAUGCAAUGCGCUUUUUGAUUGACUGCCACCUCCCAGAGUCUAUUACUGUUGUGGAAAAAUGUUCAGAGGUUGUUUAAACUAGUUAAAAUUAGACUGUUUCAAAAGUAACCCAUCUGUUUAUUUGUUUGCUUGUUUGUUUGUUGGCGCAUGUGCAUUUUUUUUAUCUAGGACUUAUGGGAGAUAUGCCCUCAGAAUGUCAUGACCUCGAACUGGAUCUGUAUUCUUUUUCAAAAUCUAAAACUACUUUGUUCUCUUAGAAGUCAGAUGGAAAGAGUUGCAUCCUCUUCUUUCAUUCUUGUUCACUUGUUUAAACAUUCAUCUAGGUCAGGUCAAAAGUCCAUCUGCUACAACUGCAAACAAAUCAAACCUGUAUCUUGAAACACAUUAAUCUGUCCCUGGUCUCAUAGGAGAAACUUUCCUUCACUCUUUCAUGUUGUUUAUAUGUUGAUCUUCAUGUAACCUUUAUGUGAUAUCCCUGAAUUCCCACCAUAAAAGAACGUAAUAGACUGUGGUGAUGUGGAUAUGCCAUAAAGACUUCUUUUUUGUAUUAGAUGCAGUGGACUCUUCAGUGUACCUCAGAAUUUGUCAUGGAUGAAGCUGUUCUACUAGCAGCGUCUACUAACUUUUGAAACUCCUAUCUAAGUCUUCAGCCACUACUGCAUUCCACAUGCAAGACCAAGAAGCAAAUACAUGCAAAACAUCAGGGUGAAGUCAUGGAAGACUAAAAUUUUUCUAUGUUCUCUGGAAAGAGGGAGGCUAAAGAACCCUGAUAAUCUACUCGUUCCUUUGAAUAAAUAUACCUGAAUUACAUGAGAGCUCUCCUGCCUGCUGCUCGACCCAACUAUGAUGAGCCCUUUCCACCUUUUGAACAUUCUCUCUCAUUACAUUUGAUUUAUUAACUUCAAUUCUAAUUAUACUGUAUUAUAGUGUGUUAUUUUGCAUUCCGAUACCAUAUUUAGUAAAUUAGUUUGUUUCUCCUCAGAUCAUUGCCUCUGUUUUUAAUUAUUUAGGGUCUCCUGCUUCCCCUUUCUGGAGGCACAGAUCUACAGAUCCUCCACCCCACUAGUCAUGGAACCAGGAAUCGGCCCAUAAACCAUUGACAAAAGUAACUACUUCAGAGAAGAACUUGAAAUAAAGUGCCAGGUAAGACGUAUCUUUCCAGAGCACCUUCCUCUUGUGAAACUUUUGAUAAAUGUAGGUCCUUGCUUUGACUUUUUUGAACUCACAUAAUUUUGCAUUCUUGUUUAAGAUGUAACGAUUUAAAGAUUAAAAUUCAAAGUGGAAACAACGGUCUUCUCCUUAGAACUUCUUUGAACAUACAGAUGGAAAGAUCUGAAGGUAUUUAUAAAUACUUUUUGCAAGAAAUACCACUUAGGAAUCGAGCUAUAAAAAUUAGAUAUUCUCACACACUUUCUUUGCAGCCAUUAGAAGUAGUUGAUUUACAGGUCCACAGUUAUUUCUAGUUACAAAGCUCCAAAGGAGCUGAAAAGGAAAGAGGAAAACUUGAUAAAUAAUGACAUUUUCAAAAUGGUUUUGUGCAAAGAAUUUAUUCUUUCACAGUAAAGGGCCAUAAAGAGCAUCCUUUAGUACAAUGAAUUAAAUUUUCGUAGUAAUACAAAAAUCACAUUACUGUGUUCCUUUAAAUUACAUUACUAAAUAAAUAUUAGUUAUCCCCUUUGCCAUCCUCCAAUAAACUUGAGGCAUUUACAUCAGAAACGUGAAACUUACUUGAACAAAUGGUAUUUAAAUCAUCUGUAGCUUGAGAAGCUAAUUAGAAAGGAAAGGAGUGCUGUUUUGUGACUGUAUUUACAGACCAUAUUUCCCUUUGCAGUAAACCAAGAAGUCUGUGUGUGCAACAAAAGACUAUUUAACAAGCUGUUGAAUAAAGAGUAAUCAGAAAUUGCUACAUAAAAUAUUUUCAAUAUUUUUGAUACAAACCAUGAGUACAGUGAAGCAAUCUGGAGCAGUCACAAUCUCAGCUCUUAAAAAUCACGUAAUCAGUGCACAAUUUCAUUGGGAACUAUGCCACAAGAUUAUAAGCAGAAACGUAUUGGCUUUGAGGAGCAUAGCUGCACCAGGUGACAUCAACAAAGAAAAUCUGGCUAGAAUCAGAAACCUUGCCCGUGCUAUUACAAAAGUCUACUUAACUAUAAUCACAGUGUAGUAAACUACUGGAACGCUACUCCAGAGAUAUUUGUCAUGUAGACAAAUACAACAAUCUUGUCUAUAUCUGCACCAUUUUAAAAAAGAGUAGCAAAGUUUGCAGUAAGUACGUAUGUACGGUUUGCAUGGAUGUUUGUGCUUAUCACAGUGCAUGUGCAUACACAUUGGGAAGGGAUUUACUGCCCACAGAAAUGCAUAGGAAUGUAUUCUUUUAAACAACAUACAUCUGGAGUGCAAUUUAAAAGCCUAAGAGGGAUUUAUGUAAAGCUUCAGGAAGAAAAUGUUUUUAGAAACCAUUCUGCUCUCAAAAUAAGCGUUAGUUAAAAUCUUAAGUUCAGCCUAAAAAGGAGCAAAUAGACAUACUUAACUAAAUUGCUGCAAUUUCAUAGGAAAAGCAACAGAGCAGAAAACCCAUAAGACAAUAGAGUUAUCUAAAUGAAUAACUUUCAUCAUCAUAUUCAAGCUCAUCUUCUUCAUCAUCCUCCAAAAGUCCAUACCUAAAUUUACGAUAGACUGUGCCAUCCUGACCCAUGUAUACAAUAUCAUCUUCUUCAUCAUCAUCUUCGAUAUCUCGAUCUCUGUAUUCAAUCACUUGGUCUUCCUGAUAGCUUGGGCUCUCAUGAUAAUUGCUCGCAUAGGAAGGAAGGGUUUUGGAGUCAUUUGUCAGCUUCUCAUACCUACCUUUACUGGCAGCGCGUGGUUUUGAUUUUGAUUUUCUCCAGAUGACUACAAUGGCUCCAAUGACAAGGAUAAGUAAAAUACAGAUAAUGACAAAGAAAGUGCUCUUGUUUUUGCUCGCUGGUGGUGACGUGGUUCGUAACACACAGUCAUCUGACAGCAACAAUAAAAUAAAAUAAAUUAAAUUGUGUUUGUACAUGA
Long non-coding RNA from Centrocercus urophasianus (Greater sage-grouse), 3116 nucleotides. RefSeq lists it as uncharacterized. The transcript is spliced from 5 exons. The record is from RefSeq and is a predicted model, not a curated record. NCBI's taxonomy places the organism in Eukaryota, Metazoa, Chordata, Aves, Galliformes, Phasianidae.